UUCCGUAGGGAACCUGCGGAAGGAUCAUUACCGAGUUGACUCGAGCUCCGGCUCGACUCUCCCACCCUAUGUGUACCUACCUCUGUUGCUUUGGCGGGCCGCGGUCCUCCGCACCGGCUCCCUUUGGGGGCUGGCCAGCGUCCGCCAGAGGACCACAAAACUCCAGUCAGUAAACGUUGCAGUCUGAAAAACAAGUUAAUAAACUAAAACUUUCAACAACGGAUCUCUUGGUUCUGGCAUCGAUGAAGAACGCAGCGAAAUGCGAUAAGUAAUGUGAAUUGCAGAAUUCAGUGAAUCAUCGAAUCUUUGAACGCACAUUGCGCCCCUUGGUAUUCCGAGGGGCAUGCCUGUUCGAGCGUCAUUUCAACCCUCAAGCUUUGCUUGGUAUUGGGCCCCGUCCUCUGUGGACGCGCCUCAAAGACCUCGGCGGUGGCGUCUUGCCUCAAGCGUAGUAGAAAUCACCUCGCUUUGGAGCGCAUGGCGUCGCCCGCCGGACGAACCUUUGAAUUUUUCUCAAGGUUGACCUCGGAUCAGGUAGGGAUACCCGCUGAACUUAAGCAUAUCAAUAAGCGGAGGAA
Molecule: ribosomal RNA, 578 nt
Filed under: Neofusicoccum eucalyptorum
Lineage: Eukaryota; Fungi; Ascomycota; Dothideomycetes; Botryosphaeriales; Botryosphaeriaceae
Description: eukaryotic LSU rRNA
Rfam family: 5.8S ribosomal RNA (bases 208-361)
Source: RNAcentral